CGGAGGGUGCGAGCGUUGUCCGGAAUCACUGGGCGUAAAGGGCGCGUAGGCGGCGUCGGCAGUCUGUGGUGAAAGCUCGUGGCUCAACUACGAGUCGGCCAUGGAUACUCCGAUGCUUGAGCACUGUAGAGGCAGGUGGAAUUCCGGGUGUAGCGGUGGAAUGCGUAGAGAUCCGGAAGAACACCGGUGGCGAAGGCGGCCUGCUGGGCAGUAGCUGACGCUGAGGCGCGACAGCGUGGGGAGCAAACAGGAUUAGAUACCCUGGUAGUCCACGCCGUAAACGAUGGGCACUAGGUGCUUGGGGGAGCGACCCCCUGAGUGCCGGCGCUAACGCAUUAAGUGCCCCGCCUGGGGAGUACGGCCGCAAGGCUG
Molecule: ribosomal RNA, 372 nt
Filed under: uncultured organism
Description: bacterial SSU rRNA
Rfam family: Bacterial small subunit ribosomal RNA
Source: RNAcentral